Long non-coding RNA from Pyrus x bretschneideri (Chinese white pear), 321 nucleotides. RefSeq lists it as uncharacterized. Lineage: Eukaryota; Viridiplantae; Streptophyta; Magnoliopsida; Rosales; Rosaceae. The transcript has 2 exons. The record is from RefSeq and is a predicted model, not a curated record.
AAGUCAAACUGCUCUUCUUGGACAGUUUGCAGGGUUCUUAGCUGAAUCUGGUCAUGUACCUCAAGGAGACAUUCCAGGAUCUAGCCACCAAGAAGCUGAUUGGUGAAGGUCACUACCUAAAUGGGCUGUACUAUUUUUCAGAGGACCUCAAUGUUCCAAAGGGAUUCCAAGUCAGCUCAAACCUAGAACAUCGGUUGUGGCAUCAACGCCUAGCACAUCCCUCAGAAUCUGUGUUGUCUACGUUGUUCCCUAGUUUAUGCAAAUCCUCCCUUGUAUGUGAAAUUUGUCAUUUGUCAAAAUCUACUAGACUCCCAUUCAAUU